GGAAGUAAAAGUCGUAAUAAGGUUUCCGUAGGUGAACCUGCGGAAGGAUCAUUACUGAGUGAGGGCCCUCUGGGUCCAACCUCCCACCCGUGUUUAUUGUACCUUGUUGCUUCGGUGCGCCCGCCUCACGGCCGCCGGGGGGCUUCUGCCCCCGGGUCCGCGCGCACCGGAGACACCAUUGAACUCUGUCUGAAGAUUGCAGUCUGAGCAUAAACUAAAUAAGUUAAAACUUUCAACAACGGAUCUCUUGGUUCCG
Molecule: unclassified non-coding RNA, 256 nt
Filed under: plant metagenome
Description: partial contains small subunit ribosomal RNA, internal transcribed spacer 1, and 5.8S ribosomal RNA
Rfam family: Eukaryotic small subunit ribosomal RNA (bases 1-54)
Source: RNAcentral